GUGGUAGAAUACCAACUGGAUGGUUACUCCUUUUGGGUGGGAGAGUUAGCGUGUUCGAGUCGCGCCUACCACG
This 73-nucleotide transfer RNA is filed under the name Marasmius tenuissimus. RNAcentral describes it as "tRNA-Pro". The record is from RNAcentral. Lineage: Eukaryota; Fungi; Basidiomycota; Agaricomycetes; Agaricales; Marasmiaceae.